UACGUAGGGGGCGAGCGUUGUCCGGAUUCAUUGGGCGUAAAGAGCUCGUAGGCGGCUUGGCAAGUCGGGUGUGAAAACUCCAGGCUCAACCUGGAGACGCCACCCGAUACUGCCAUGGCUUGAGUCCGGUAGGGGACCACGGAAUUCCUGGUGUAGCGGUGAAAUGCGCAGAUAUCAGGAGGAACACCGGUGGCGAAGGCGGUGGUCUGGGCCGGUACUGACGCUGAGGAGCGAAAUCGUGGGGAGCGAACAGG
Molecule: ribosomal RNA, 254 nt
Filed under: uncultured bacterium
Lineage: Bacteria
Description: partial 16S ribosomal RNA
Rfam family: Bacterial small subunit ribosomal RNA
Source: RNAcentral